This 475-nucleotide ribosomal RNA is filed under the name Bacteroidetes bacterium oral taxon 272. Its description in RNAcentral is "bacterial SSU rRNA". It matches the Rfam family "Bacterial small subunit ribosomal RNA", at positions 28 to 493 of the family's 1533-position model. Lineage: Bacteria; Pseudomonadati; Bacteroidota. The record is from RNAcentral.
GAUGAACGCUAGCUACAGGCUUAACACAUGCAAGUCGUGGGGCAUCAUGAUGUAGUAAUACAUUGAUGGCGACCGGCGCACGGGUGAGUAACGCGUAUCCAACCUACCCUCCACUCAAGUAUAGGCUUCCGAAAGGGAGAUUAAUCCUUGAUAUCGUCAUUCUCUCUCCUGUUAGAAUGAUAAAAGGACAUCGUUUCGGUAGAGGAUGGGGAUGCGUUCCAUUAGGUAGUAGGUGGUUUAACAGGCCACCUAGCCGAUGAUGGAUAGGGGUUCUGAGAGGAAUAUCCCCCACACUGGUACUGAGAUACGGACCAGACUCCUACGGGAGGCAGCAGUGAGGAAUAUUGGUCAAUGGGCGCAAGCCUGAACCAGCCAUGUAGCGUGAAGGAUGACGGUUUUUUUGAUUGUAAACUUCUUUUCUGUGCGAUUAAAGUGUGGCAUUUAUGCCAUAUUGCAGUAUCUCAGGAAUAAGCAU